This 631-nucleotide ribosomal RNA is filed under the name Clostridioides difficile. RNAcentral describes it as "partial 23S ribosomal RNA". It matches the Rfam family "Bacterial large subunit ribosomal RNA", at positions 1915 to 2544 of the family's 2925-position model. Lineage: Bacteria; Bacillati; Bacillota; Clostridia; Peptostreptococcales; Peptostreptococcaceae. The record is from RNAcentral.
AAGCCCCAGUAAACGGCGGCCGUAACUAUAACGGUCCUAAGGUAGCGAAAUUCCUUGUCGGGUAAGUUCCGACCCGCACGAAAGGCGUAACGAUUUGGGCACUGUCUCAACAACAGACUCGGUGAAAUUGUAAUUCCGGUGAAGAUGCCGGAUACCUGCGACAGGACGGAAAGACCCCAUGGAGCUUUACUGUAGCUUGACAUUGGGUCUUGGUACUACAUGUACAGGAUAGGUGGGAGGCUUUGAAACCAGGACGCCAGUUUUGGCGGAGCCAUCCUUGGGAUACCACCCUUGUAGUACUGGGACUCUAACCAUAGGCCAUGAAUCUGGUCUUGGGACACUGUCAGGUGGGCAGUUUGACUGGGGCGGUCGCCUCCCAAAAGGUAACGGAGGCGCUCAAAGGUUCUCUCAGUACGGUCGGAAAUCGUACGUAGAGUGUAAAGGCAAAAGAGAGCUUGAUUGCAAGACAUACAGGUCGAGCAAGGAUGAAAAUCGGACGUAGUGAUCCGGUGGUUCUGCGUGGAAGGGCCAUCGCUCAACGGAUAAAAGCUACCCUGGGGAUAACAGGCUUAUCUCCCCCAAGAGUCCACAUCGACGGGGAGGUUUGGCACCUCGAUGUCGGCUCAUCACA